GCUGGGCCUGGUGGUGCAUGCCUAUAAUCCCAGUGACUCAGGAGGCUGAGGCAGGAGGAUUGCAAGUUCAAGGCUAGGCUCAACAAUUUAGUGAGGCCCUAACCAACUAAGUGAGACCCUGUCUUAA
This 127-nucleotide small RNA is filed under the name Marmota monax (woodchuck). Lineage: Eukaryota; Metazoa; Chordata; Mammalia; Rodentia; Sciuridae. The record is from RNAcentral.